CGGGGUGAGUAAUGUAUGGGGAUCUGCCUGAUGGCGGGGGAUAACUACUGGAAACGGUAGCUAAUACCGCAUAACGUCGCAAGACCAAAGAGGGGGACCUUCGGGCCUCUUGCCAUCGGAUGUGCCCAGAUGGGAUUAGCUAGUAGGUGAGGUAACGGCUUACCUAGGCGACGAUCCCUAGCUGGUCUGAGAGGAUGAUCAGCCACACUGGGACUGAGACACGGCCCAG
RNAcentral lists this ribosomal RNA (229 nucleotides) under uncultured bacterium. Its description in RNAcentral is "partial 16S ribosomal RNA". It matches the Rfam family "Bacterial small subunit ribosomal RNA", at positions 104 to 334 of the family's 1533-position model. The record is from RNAcentral.